CGCGAAUAGCUCAUUACAACAGCCGUUGUUUCUUGGAUCUUGUUUUACUUGGAUAACUGUGGUAAUUCUAGAGUUAAUACAUGCUAAAAGGCUCUAACCUUACGGAAGGAGCGCAUUUAUUAGACCAAGACCAAACAGGCUUUGCCUGGAAUCUGGUGACUCUGAAUAACUUUGCUGGUCACAUGGUCUUAGCACCGGUGACAUUUCUUUCAGGUGUCUGCCCUAUCAACUUUCGAUGGUAGUUUAUGUGCCUACCAUGGUGGUAACGGGUAAUGGAGAAUAAGGGUUCGACUCUGGAGAGGGAGCCCGAGAAAUGGCUACCACAUCCAAGGAAGGCAGCAGGC
RNAcentral lists this ribosomal RNA (344 nucleotides) under Nematode sp. PB-2006-4. Its description in RNAcentral is "SSU rRNA". It matches the Rfam family "Eukaryotic small subunit ribosomal RNA", at positions 88 to 433 of the family's 1831-position model. Lineage: Eukaryota; Metazoa; Nematoda. The record is from RNAcentral.